GACGAACGCUGGCGGCGUGCUUAACACAUGCAAGUCGAACGGAAAGGCCCCUUCGGGGGUACUCGAGUGGCGAACAGGUGCGUAACACGUGAGUAACCUGCCCUUGACUUCGGGAUAACUUCAGGAAACUGGGGCUAAUACCGGAUAGGAAUCCUUGCUGCAUGGUGGGGGUUGGAAAGCUUCGGCGGUUUUGGAUGGACUCGCGGCUUAUCAGCUUGUUGGUGGGGUAGUGGCUUACCAAGGCUUUGACGGGUAGCCGGCCUGAGAGGGCGACCGGCCACAUUGGGACUGAGAUACGGCCCAGACUCCUACGGGAGGCAGCAGUGGGGAAGAUUGCACAAUGGGCGGUAGCCUGAUGCAGCAACGCCGCGUGCGGGAUGACGGCCUUCGGGUUGUAAACCGCUUUCAGCAGGGGCGAAGCUUGUGGUGACGGUACCUGCAGAAGAAGCACCGGCUAACUACGUG
RNAcentral lists this ribosomal RNA (465 nucleotides) under uncultured bacterium. RNAcentral's name for it is "partial 16S ribosomal RNA". It matches the Rfam family "Bacterial small subunit ribosomal RNA", at positions 28 to 507 of the family's 1533-position model. The record is from RNAcentral.